AUAACUACUUGUUUACUGUGCACAUUUAAGCGAAUCCAGAGGUAACGCAACCUUUAACAUUAAAAAGACAAAACCCAGGUCUAAGAAAUUAGGCUGGGCAAUUUUAAUAAAAUUUACUGAAGCCAGUUUAAAUUUAUCAAAAGCUGGUAUAAAAAAGUUAGUUUAAUAUUGGUAUCAAUACCUGACAAUAAAAAACAGUAAAAUCAUUUAUAAGUACUUCUCUAAAAGGCGACUAGACUCAAAUAAUAUGAUUUAUGUGAUAUUAAUAUAUUUUAAGAAAUACACAGUUGGAUCUGGUUGUGGUAAUAUCUGUUGUGGUAAUAUCUGUGGUAAUAUCUGUGGUAAUAUGUAACUUAAAGAAAUGGAAGUCACUAAGUUGUCGAGAAAAGUCUUUGAGGAAACGGUAGCAGGGGAAACGGUAGCAGGGGAAAUCCUGAUGAUUAUAUUAAAAUUAUUACCCAGCAAGGAAAUAUUUACAGUCACUGAAAGAAAGUUCCAUCAGAAUAGGAACGUCCAAAACUUGUCAUGCGAAAAAAAGAACUUGCAUUACAAAAGUCAAGUUAUAUAAUGAGGAAUUUCUUCCAUAUUUUGAGAAAACAUAGUAAAAACUGAAUAAAAAACUCAAAGAGCGGUAGAAAGACCGGUUUUCAUACAGGAGCAAAAAAACGAAAAUUUAUCACAUUACAUGUGUACUAAACAGCUUUUUUCUUUUUUUUUUUUUUUUUUUGUUUAAAAAAAUGCAAACAUUGCAUUUAACGCUGAAGAUUUCUAGCUGAAAUUGAGAAGAUGUCUAGCUGAAAUUGAUAUAACGUCUAGCUGAAAUUGAGAAGAUGCUGAAAUCGAGGAUUAAAAAUAAAAUAAAUAUUUAAUAAAUGA
Molecule: long non-coding RNA, 876 nt
Organism: Hydra vulgaris (swiftwater hydra)
Lineage: Eukaryota; Metazoa; Cnidaria; Hydrozoa; Anthoathecata; Hydridae
Source: RefSeq, a predicted model, not a curated record